RNAcentral lists this ribosomal RNA (449 nucleotides) under uncultured bacterium. RNAcentral describes it as "partial 16S ribosomal RNA". It matches the Rfam family "Bacterial small subunit ribosomal RNA", at positions 29 to 523 of the family's 1533-position model. The record is from RNAcentral.
AACGAACGCUGGCGGCAUGCCUAACACAUGCAAGUCGAACGAGAUCUUCGGGUCUAGUGGCGCACGGGUGCGUAACGCGUGGGAAUCUGCCCUUUGGUUCGGAAUAACAGUUGGAAACGACUGCUAAUACCGGAUGAUGACGAAAGUCCAAAGAUUUAUCGCCAGAGGAUGAGCCCGCGUAGGUUUAGCUAGUUGGUGUGGUAAAGGCGCACCAAGGCGACGAUCCUUAGCUGGUCUGAGAGGAUGGUCAGCCACACUGGGACUGAGACACGGCCCAGACUCCUACGGGAGGCAGCAGUGGGGAAUAUUGGACAAUGGGCGAAAGCCUGAUCCAGCAAUGCCGCGUGAGUGAUGAAGGCCUUAGGGUUGUAAAGCUCUUUUACCCGGGAUGAUAAUGACAGUACCGGGAGAAUAAGCUCCGGCUAACUCCGUGCCAGCCGCCGCGGUAA